UGGGGAAUAUUGGGCAAUGGGCGCAAGCCUGACCCAGCCAUGCCGCGUGAGUGAUGAAGGCCUUCGGGUCGUAAAGCUCUGUGGGGAGGGACGAAUAGCCGCAUGGUUAAUACCCGUGCGGUCUGACGGUACUUCCUUAGCAAGCACCGGCUAACUCCGUGCCAGCAGCCGCGGUAAUACGGAGGGUGCAAACGUUGCUCGGAAUCAUUGGGCGUAAAGCGCACGUAGGCGGCUCGUUAAGUCGGAUGUGAAAGCCCCGGGCUCAACCCGGGAAGUGCACUCGAAACUGGCGAGCUUGAGUAUGGAAGAGGGUCUCGGAAUUCCCGGUGUAGAGGUGAAAUUCGUAGAUAUCGGGAGGAACACCAGUGGCGAAGGCGGAGACCUGGGCCAAUACUGACGCUGAGGUGCGAAAGCGUGGGGAGCAAACAG
This 429-nucleotide ribosomal RNA is filed under the name uncultured bacterium. Its description in RNAcentral is "bacterial SSU rRNA". It matches the Rfam family "Bacterial small subunit ribosomal RNA", at positions 355 to 775 of the family's 1533-position model. The record is from RNAcentral.